This 324-nucleotide ribosomal RNA is filed under the name uncultured eukaryote. RNAcentral's name for it is "partial 18S ribosomal RNA". It matches the Rfam family "Eukaryotic small subunit ribosomal RNA", at positions 1470 to 1796 of the family's 1831-position model. The record is from RNAcentral.
CCCUUAGAUGUCCUGGGCUGCACGCGCGCUACACUGAUGUGUCCAGUAAGCACCUAACCUCUUCCGAAAGGAACGGGUAACCUUUGCAAAGCACAUCGUGAUGGGGAUAGAUUAUUGCAAUUAUUAGUCUUGAACGAGGAAUUCCUAGUAAGCACAAGUCAUCAGCUUGUGUUGAUUACGUCCCUGCCCUUUGUACACACCGCCCGUCGCUCCUACCGAUUGAAUGUUCCGGUGAGCGCUUCGGACUGCGCGGUCUGCAGUUUCUGCGUUCCGUGCGGAAAGUUGCGCAAACCUUAACAUUUAGAGGAAGGAGAAGUCGUAACA